Molecule: long non-coding RNA, 917 nt
Filed under: Pan troglodytes (chimpanzee)
Lineage: Eukaryota; Metazoa; Chordata; Mammalia; Primates; Hominidae
Description: long non-coding RNA NONPTRT008563
Source: RNAcentral
GGGUGCUCGAUGAUCUCCAAGACAAUGAGGUUCUCACUGAGAAUGAGAAGGAGCUGGUGGAGCAGGCAAAGACACGGCAGAGCAAGAAUGACAUCCUGCUGACCAUGGUGGAGAAGAAAGGGGACCGGGCCCUGGAGCUGCUCUUCAGAAGCAUUAGUGAAAGGGACCCUUACCUCGUGUCCUAUCUUAGACAGCAGAAUUUGUAAAGUGAGUCAGUCAGAGAGUGUGGAAGAGAGAAUCCAGCGUUCUCAUUGGAAAUGAAUGAAUAGAAAUGCAUCCUUGAUUCCAGUGUCCAAAACAGAGAGGGGCUGGGUAACAUUUGCCCAUCACACAGGCUUUGGGGACAGAUACGUAACCUGGAAGAUACCCAUUGGCUGUAUCCCCAUGCCUUUCCCUCAAGAAUAUCUGAAGAAAAUAACAAUAGUGCUCUUAAUUUUUUUCUAACCGUGGCUCAAUUUGUGACUAUUCCGUCCAUUGACACGUUUCCUGAAGACCCGGGGUGAAGAAAGUCAAGGCAGUUGUGUUUGUGCAUGACAGGCUCUAGAAAGGAAAAUUCUCCUGAUUAACAUGAAAACUAGCUUUUAUGGACACUCUUUGAAGUCUCACCAUUCCACCACAAAAUACAGGAAAGCUAACAAAGUCUCUCAGUUGAAGAUAUCCAAGGGUUAAUAGAGAUACAGUGGAGAAAUAAAUAAAUACAACUUUUGAUAAAUGGGAAGAAGGAGAUGUUCAAAAAAGAGGUGUCCGAAAUGGCUUUUCAGAUGGCUGUGUGGAUGCAGAUGCAAUCAGAGCUCAACGAAGGAGUAUUCUGUGCCUCGCUGCCGUUACAGAGAGCAUCACCGUGGCGAACGGGACAUGACUGCAGCAGCUUCCAUUUCCCAUCAGAUAGCAUUCCAUAAGUAAGAAACAUGUAUUCU